RNAcentral lists this non-coding RNA (921 nucleotides) under Scarthyla vigilans. RNAcentral describes it as "partial 12S small subunit ribosomal RNA". It matches the Rfam family "Bacterial small subunit ribosomal RNA". The record is from RNAcentral. Lineage: Eukaryota; Metazoa; Chordata; Amphibia; Anura; Hylidae.
UGGUCCUAGCCUUGAAAUCAAUUAUUACUUAAUAUACACAUGCAAGUUUCCGCAUCCCUGUGAGAACGCCCUCUAUUUUCUAUUUGGAACGAGGAGCCGGUAUCAGGCACAAUUUAUAGCCCAAAACACCUAGCUUAGCCACACCCACAAGGGAAUUCAGCAGUGAUUAACAUUGAAUAUUAGCGCCAGCUUGAUUCAGUUAAAGUAAACAGAGCCGGCAAAUCUGGUGCCAGCCGCCGCGGUUACACCACGUGGCUCAAAUUGAUUUUGUUCGGCGUAAAGCGUGAUUAAAGUUAUCCUCAUUUGUAAUUUAAUUUAAACUAAGCUGUGACACGCUUGUACUUAAGAAACCCUAAAACGAAAGUUAUUACAAUUUUUCAACUUGAAUACACGACAGCUAAGAAACAAACUGGGAUUAGAUACCCCACUAUGCUUAGCCGUAAACCUUUAUUUACACCUUAUCGCCUGGGAACUACGAGCAAAGCUUAAAACCCAAAGGACUUGACGGUACCCCACAUCCCCCUAGAGGAGCCUGUCCUAUAAUCGAUAACCCUCGCUUAACCUCACCACUUCUAGCCUAUCCGCCUGUAUACCUCCGUCGUCAGCUUACCCCGUGAGCGUAAUUUAGUGAGCUUAAUGUCUCUACGUCAAUACGUCAGGUCAAGGUGCAGCAAAUGAACUGGGAAGAGAUGGGCUACACUCUCUACAAUAGAGAAAACGAAACACUAUAUAUGAAAACUAAUGAGAAGGCGGAUUUAGUAGUAAAAAAGAACAAGAGAGUCUUUUUUAACACGGCACUGGGGUGUGUACACACCGCCCGUCACCCUCUUCAACACUUUAUUUUAGUACUUAACCCUAUUUUAGUAUAAUAGAAGAGGCAAGUCGUAACAUGGUAAGUAUACCGGAAGGUGUGCUUGGAAA